This 71-nucleotide transfer RNA is filed under the name Loxodonta africana (African savanna elephant). It matches the Rfam family "tRNA". From Rfam's summary of the family: Transfer RNA (tRNA) molecules are approximately 80 nucleotides in length. Their secondary structure includes four short double-helical elements and three loops (D, anti-codon, and T loops). Lineage: Eukaryota; Metazoa; Chordata; Mammalia; Proboscidea; Elephantidae. The record is from Rfam by way of RNAcentral.
GCAUUGGUGGUCCAGUGAUAGAAUUCUUACCUUCCAUACAGGAGACCCAGGUUCAAUUCUUGGCCAAUGCA